UUUGACACCUUUUGCCUCACACCUUUAGCAGCUUCAUCAGCCUCUGAGAUGAUACUUGGACUCGUCUGAGAAUUCUCCAAAACGCCAACUUCUUUAUUAAGAUUCUCAGCUCCAACAUCUCUUAACUGAAUGUUUUCAGAAUUGACUUCAUCCUUCGGUAAUAAAUGAUCCAAUAAGCCCUGAUUGGAUCGCAGACUGGACCAUCUUCUGUCUAAAUUUGGUGUAAAAUCUUUUGCACUCUGUUGAAUAGAAGUAGAAACAAUGUCACCUCCGAAACAUGAUCCUCCAAGAUCUUUGCCAUGAUCAUCGUCCAAGGACUCUGUCAAGACAUCUUCAUAAUGUUCUUGGCUCUUAGAACUUUCAAUCGGUUGAUUGCAAACUUCAGCUUCUAAUGGUGAUUUUAUAGAUUCCUCUAUGACUCUGUUAGAGCUGGAACAGAAUGCAGAGGCCCUACAGCCAGGAGAGACUACACUCCGCUCUCCUAAACCAUCGCUUUCUUUUCUUUCAAUGAACAUGUGGGAGGAGCUCCUCACUGAAGAUAUGGAACUGUCAUUGAUUAAUGUUUUCCUGGUUGAUGUCUCAGUAAAUGCCUGACCUUGUUCAGCAGCAUUUGCAGACAUGGCUUCCAGAGCACGAUGAAGACGUUUGGAUGGAGGUAAAGCAGCUUCACCAUCUGCUGGGCAGCCAAAAGACUGAUGCUCCUUGGCAAUUGAAAGCUGAGGCCUAUUCCCUGGAAUUUGAGCACAGUCCUUUUGAGGUGACACAAUAUCUAAAGCUCCCUUUACUGAAAACAAGCCUUUAUCAGCAGAACGAUCAUCAUUGAAAUUAGCAGGUGGGCCAAUCAGCUCCAACAUGGUGACCACAACUUCGUUAGAGGUUCUUUCUUCAAUUUGACAUAUGCCACUUUGUGCCUCAGUCAAACUGACUGCAACCUCAUUACAAGUCUUUUCUUCCUCAAGAGAAAAGCUGUUGUGGUCCUCCAAUGAAGAUAAUUUGCCCAUUCUAACUCUAGCUCGUUUCACUAGUGGCAAAUGCUCAUCUCCAUCUUCUUUAUUAUGCCUCUCACUCAAGUUUUCACAAGCCCACUGUGAAUUUUGGCUGCUAUUAUGCACUCCAGCGUCCAAAUCUGCCUCUGUUUCCAAUCUGGCAGGUGGCUCAGCUGCUUCAUUAAUCACUCGCUUUCUGUUUGGUUUCCUUUUCUUCUUUAUAAUCACGGCCUUUAUUUGAAAAUCAAGCCCUUUGCUCAACUCAACAUCUUCCUCCAAACAAUCAAAAACAGUUUGAGAGUGCUCAGGUUUACAAGCACAGUCUAUAGUGCUGCCUUCAUUCAGACUCAGAGAAUCAGAAUCAACUGUUAUAAUUUCAGAGACAUUAUCUUCAACACUUCCAUUUGAAAUAAAAGUAGAUGAAUCCACAUCAUCCCAUUCAGAGGCAUCUGGUGACUUUCUAACUCGCUUGUUCCUUCGUAAGGACCUGUUCAGGAUUACUUCAGUUGAUGCAUCCCCCGCACUCUUGUUACCAUCAUUAGACAGCAUCAUGAAGUUCUGGAAUCUGGAGGAUUCCAACCUUGACAAGCUUGUAGGCCUUUCAACUGAUGGAUCCUUUUUCUGUGUACCGCAUUUUCUAGACCGUAAGUUGCCAGAUCUUCUUCUUGAAGUAUAAGUAGUUAUAACAGGUUUUGCUGUGACCACCACAUUAUCAGUGGGUUGCUCCAAUGAGGCCUCUUUAUCAUGCAAAGAACCAACUUUUGCUACAUCUGGUGCAACACUGCUUGUGAGGUUGGGAUCAUUUCUAACAACAGUUGCUUCAGAAGUUUCAAUCUCAUCCUUCAAUUCAAAAUGAGCUGACAACUCCAUUGAAUUCCCACCAUUUGCAAGAGCAACUUCAUCAGAAUUGAGAUCAUCAACUUGGUGUGGUUUCUUUGACUUCUCAUAACUGUCUAUAAUCUCCUGCACCGCACGAACAAAAUCUGCACCCUUUCCUUGACGUUUGAUCAAAAGAGAUUGUUUUUUCUCUUCAGUAAAUGCUUCAACAUCAGCAGGGUUGCAGAAAGCUAUUUGCUGUGUUCCAAAGAAGUAGACAAGUACUUUCUUCCAAUCAGCUGGAUAGCCCCACUUCUCAGGCUCACUUACCGUGGCAGGCCAAGCAGGAAAGCCUUUGACUUUGGCGAGGACAAGAUCGCCCACCUUCCAUUGGCGGCGGGCAGCAGCAGCGGCAGCAGCUUUGCCGGCGCCCCUUCUGCGACUCGGCGCCAUCUAAGAAGCAGCGGGGCUGGAAUCAAAUUCUGGCACGCGAUUCCAACAGAAGCAAAGACUCAAAUAGACUAAUGAGCCAAAAUCGCCCGCAAAAUGGAGCAGUCCGGCACAGUCUAGGGUUCUGAAGACGCGAUUUAGGCAAGCAAUUAGCAGGCAUUGAAACGCAUAAACCACACAGAGAGAGUGAGCAGUGAAGCAGUAGAAACCCUAAUUCGCCGAGAAAGAGAAAAAAAAGAGACGAAAGAGUUUGAAGUCCAAGUGGGGAGUUUUGUUUGUGUUUUGUGGAAGAGAGAAUGAUACGAGGAGGCUAAAGUGCGCAGAGAGAGUGCAGGUUAAAAAUUGGAAGAGGGCUAACGUGAUCGAAG
Molecule: unclassified non-coding RNA, 2620 nt
Filed under: Hevea brasiliensis (rubber tree)
Lineage: Eukaryota; Viridiplantae; Streptophyta; Magnoliopsida; Malpighiales; Euphorbiaceae
Source: RNAcentral